CCCUUAGAUGUUCUGGGCUGCACACGCGCUACACUGAAGGGAUCAGCGUGUUCUUUUCCUGGUCCGAAAGGAUCGGGUAACCCGCUGAACCCCCUUCGUGGUAGGGAUCGGAGCUUGCAAUUAUUCUCCGUGAACCAGGAAUUCCCAGUAAGCGCAAGUCAUAAGCUUGCGUUGAUUACGUCCCUGCCCUUUGUACACACCGCCCGUCGCUACUACCGAUUGGACGUUUUAGUGAGGAUUUUGGACUGAGCCAAUGGUGGUUCACACCACUGUUGUGCAUGGAAAGAUCUCCAAACUUGAGCGUUUAGAGGAAGGUGAAGUCGUAACA
RNAcentral lists this ribosomal RNA (328 nucleotides) under uncultured eukaryote. RNAcentral describes it as "partial 18S ribosomal RNA". It matches the Rfam family "Eukaryotic small subunit ribosomal RNA", at positions 1470 to 1796 of the family's 1831-position model. The record is from RNAcentral.